GUGGGCACACACAUAGACACCAACGACGGUGUCUCCCUCGUCGGUGUCGUUGCACUCAACCGCCAAGCGGCGUCUCCCUCCUCACUCUCCCCCUUUCUCUCUAUCAAAAACCUUAGACACCCAAUUUCCAACCACCGCUGACGCUCGCUGCCUGCCGCCUCUUCCUUCAAAAUCCGGCAGCCUAUCGUUGGCUACCACCUUCACCGUCGUCUCCUCUUU
RNAcentral lists this long non-coding RNA (219 nucleotides) under Salvia miltiorrhiza (redroot sage). RNAcentral describes it as "long non-coding RNA (SMIL_LNC001292)". The record is from RNAcentral. Lineage: Eukaryota; Viridiplantae; Streptophyta; Magnoliopsida; Lamiales; Lamiaceae.